UUUCUCGCUACUGCGUUUCCAAUAGCAGCUGACACUUGCGUGUGUGCGAGGGAAUAGUGCAACCUCGAAGUGCAUCCCAAAGAUUGUGGCGCCAUAGCUCGAAGGAAAGCACGACGAAGGAAAAAGGAUCCAGGUGGAGGAGACAACCUUGCCUCCGGUCGCGUUGCUUGGCAUGUGGCGCUUGAAAACCGUUAUCGCGAGCUCCAGUGCCAAGAUGAGAGCCGUUAGGAGAACACCCAAGAUGCAGACGCUGCUCUUUCUACUCCUUGUUCUGGGCUUUUGCAGUCAUCAAGCACAAGGUGCAACCACCAUGAGUAGUUCAUCAGCUGCGGGCAGCACGGGAACAACACAGGCCAUGACUACAACCAAUCGACAGGGCGGCACGUCUUCUGCAACCACCACAGCUGCUAUGAGCAGCAUGGCAGCAAACACCACGAUGGCAGGAAUGACACAGGCAGUAGGCAACACAACUGUGGUGACAACAGGAAGGAUGAGCACUGCUGGGGCAUCUGGAGGUACAAAUAGCUACAGUCGAAGUGACAACUACACCGGCACCUAACACCACACAGGCUGCAAGUACACGUCAGACAACGGGUACCACAGCUGGCGUGAUGAGCACCACAAGUCAAGCAACUACGAUGCAUGGCACCACUGCUUCCAUGAAUACUACAGCUCCAAUGCAAGGCACUACUGCUGCCAUGAAUACCACAGCUACAAUGCAAGGCACUACAGGUGGAGCAAAUACAGCUGCAAUGCCAGGCACUACUAGUAGGAUGAAUACCACAGCUACAAUGCCAGACACUACAGGUGCCAUGAAUACCACAGCUAGAAUGCCAGGCACUACAGGUGCCAUGAAUACCACAGCUACAAUGCCAGGCAGUGCAGGUGCCAUGAAUACCACAGCUACAAUGCCAGGCACUACAGGUGCCAUGAAUACCACAGCUACAAUGCCAGGCACUACUGGUGCCAUGAAUUCCACAGCUGCAAUGUCAGGCACUACAGGUGGAAUAAGUUCCACUGCAAUGCCAGGCACUACCAGUACCAUGAAUACCACAGCUACCAUGCCAGGCACUACAGGUGCCAUGAAUACCACAGUUACAAUGCCAGGCACUAGCGACAGGAUGAAUUCCACAGCUGCAAUGCAAGGCACUACAGCUGCAACAAAUACCACGGCUGCAAUACAAGGCACAACAGGUGCAAUGAAUACCACAGCUGCAAUGCAGGGCUCUACUGACACUAUGAAUACCACGGCUGGUACAAGUCUGACAACAGGUACACCGGAGACCACUGUUAGCACAGCAUCAGACAACACCACCAUGGCACCAAUGAACACCACCAUGGCAUCAACAAACACCACAAUGAUGGCAACAACCCAGACUACUACAAUGAUGACCACCACAACACCAGGUCCUUGGAGAGUGACAUUUGACGGUGACUGCAAGAUCGCCUUGGAUUACGAAGCAGACUUUCUCCAGAACUGCAGUGUUGCAGUCGCUACUUGGCUCAACAUCAGUAAAACUGCCACACGAUGCUACGACUUAAGAUGUGGCUCCACCAUUGUCACAGUAGAAGUCAACCGUUCAGCCAGUGAGGGAGUUGCUGAUAAGUUCAACAGCCUGAUGAACAAUGCUAAUGAGUCCCUAAUGAUCGUAUUUCAAGGGGCUAACUUUACAGCAACUGAUGCAAGGGUCAUCAGUGAGCCGACACAGCCAACCACAGCUGAUGGAUCCACCAUACCAAGUACCACUGAUGCAAACACCACAGCAUCCUUCUGCAUGAUCCGUGGACUGGAUUACACCGGCUGUGUCAUUUUCCUGAGCUGUGUGAUCGCUGUUGGAGUCAUCCUGCUCGCACUCGUCUUGUGGGCCAUCAUUCAUUGCUGCCGUCGGCAGAAGAGCAAGUCCUUCGACCUCCUGAGCGACAUCCCCCACAUCUCGCUGAGCGAUUACCCCAUGACCACCAUCCCGCGCCCGUCGGUGUACCAGCACGGCAACAGCUCCGGUCAGGUGAACAUGGCGUACAUCACCGAUCAGGACGACAUCGACAAGCCCAAGCAGCCGCUGGAGUCCUCCAACACCAGUCAGUCCAGCCACAGCUCCGGGAGGGUGGAGGACGGGAAGAAUACCAGCAUGCAGCCCGACGGUAGCAGCAACCACGUGCAGCAAGAGGCCGCGUCGGCGUCCUACCAGGCCGUGCCUACAGAAGAACAACCCCCUCCAGUGUACAGCCCCCAAUCAGGUACAAACAACGUGGUCCAGCCAACAGGAACUGACCAGGCCCCAGGGCCGUACCCCUCACUUGCUAGCCCAGUGAAUGAAGCCUUGCUUGACAUACCCGAAACCGUGGACAACCCUGAAGUGCCUGAAUCAGAGAACCCUACCAUCUCAUUCAGGGCACCUGAUGCACAGGACACCCCCGAGUCUGCCACACCUGGGAGCCCCAAGGUCAUCAAGGGCGACGAUGGUUCUGUGAGCGUUGUCGUCAACUGGUAGACCGGUGCCCAGCUGUUCAUUUUAUCUGGUCUCAAACAUUUCCAAACUUUCCAGGGCUCAAAAUACCAAGCAUGCACUUGGGAGAAAAAUUGCAGGCUUGGUAUGGUGAAUCAAAUAUUGCAAUUCUAGGGCCAGUCACAUUAUUGUACAAUUGUUGUAAACUUAUGGCAUUCUUGGGAUACCGUAGUCGUGCAUAUAUUGUACAAAACUCAGCCAUGUUUGGUAAGGAAAAUGCUAUCUUUGAUCCUUUUUGACAGUUUUCAAAUUCUACUGCAACAAAGUUGUACAUGUAUGAUAGUCUACGAUGAAUGUGACCAGGCCACACCCUAAAAAGAAAAGUAUUUUGAGCCUUGCGAGCACAAUCGCUAUCUCCCAGACCUUAGUAUGUAAGUUGCAUUUUGGCACUGCUUCACAAACAACAAGGGUUACUAUAGGUGCCAUGUAUGGCAGCAAAAUUUCUACUGAUACAGUGAUAGUCUGAUACUGUGAAAUGUGCCAGAGGCUAGUUUUGAGGGAAAUUUCCAUAUCCAAGUUUUUAAAGUCAACAGUCUGAUGAAUUUUGAAAAAAAGUUUACAGGAGUUGCCAUUCAAACUUUGAUGUGCAAGUUUUUAGACUCCAGCGCAUUAGUUAAAUGUUUUUAAGUGCCAUGGACACAGUCAAAAAGUUCAGACAAAUGAAUACAGGUCUGCCAAUACUUUCUCCCUGUCCCAUUGAUUUGAAUUUGGCCUUAGUUAUUCCAUGCCU
Branchiostoma belcheri (Belcher's lancelet) is the source of this 3237-nucleotide RNA transcript. It is a transcript of the gene named mucin-5B-like, with no coding region annotated. The record is from RefSeq and is a predicted model, not a curated record. The transcript has 5 exons. NCBI's taxonomy places the organism in Eukaryota, Metazoa, Chordata, Leptocardii, Amphioxiformes, Branchiostomatidae.